GUGGGGAAUUUUGGACAAUGGGCGAAAGCCUGAUCCAGCAAUGCCGCGUGUGUGAAGAAGACCUUCGGGUUGUAAAGCACUUUUGUCCGGAAAGAAAUCCUCUGGGUUAAUACCUCGGGGGGAUGACGGUACCGGAAGAAUAAGCACCGGCUAACUACGUGCCAGCAGCC
RNAcentral lists this ribosomal RNA (170 nucleotides) under uncultured Pandoraea sp. RNAcentral describes it as "partial 16S ribosomal RNA". It matches the Rfam family "Bacterial small subunit ribosomal RNA", at positions 354 to 516 of the family's 1533-position model. The record is from RNAcentral. Lineage: Bacteria; Pseudomonadati; Pseudomonadota; Betaproteobacteria; Burkholderiales; Burkholderiaceae.